UGGAAAAGCAGAGGAACGUUUAAAUAUUCUGCAUGUUAUGGAUACUAAGUAACACUUUCACAAGGUUAACUAAAUGUUCUAGUUGAGCUAUCCAUCUGAACCUCGUUCAUUACGUUUAACUUAAUAACUGAAACUGGGGUUAUGUCUGAUUGAAAAAGGGAAAUGCUAUCAAGGCCAUGUGAAAAGCCUGUGGGAACAGCUGCCUGAACGAGAAGUGGAUGUGCAGCAAGACACUGGGAGGGAGAGGGUUACAGCUGUAAAUCUGUGUCAGGCACACUCUGGAAAAUAUGACUGGGGACAAACAGAAAAUAAUAAGAGCAAGAGGAGCAAGUCAGAUGAGAGAGUGUGCAAAGCCCUCCUCUGAAAUCUAGCCUGGAGACGGGUGACCCUGCUGAGGGGAGAUGGAGACGCAGAGGUGACCCGGUGCUAACCAGCCUGUUAUAACUAAUAAGCUCCAGCACUGUUUCCCAAUGCUUGGUAUGGUAGAAGCAAGCUUUCCAUGUUAUAAUUUCAAUAAUAAUUGUUAUAAAUAUGUAUUUUAAAGUGUCUGUUUCUUUGGUGGAAGAAGACUGUCCUCUGCAGGAAGAACUAAGAACUACUGGAAAAAUACUUUACUGAGCAUUAGUGAGAGGCACAUAAAAAAAUAA
Molecule: long non-coding RNA, 647 nt
Organism: Spea bombifrons (plains spadefoot toad)
Lineage: Eukaryota; Metazoa; Chordata; Amphibia; Anura; Pelobatidae
Exons: 2
Source: RefSeq, a predicted model, not a curated record